GAUGAACGCUGGCGGCGUGCCUAAUACAUGCAAGUCGAGCGAACGGACGAGAAGCUUGCUUCUCUGAUGUUAGCGGCGGACGGGUGAGUAACACGUGGAUAACCUACCUAUAAGACUGGGAUAACUUCGGGAAACCGUAGCUAAUACCGGAUAAUAUUUUGAACCGCAUGGUUCAAAAGUGAAAGACGGUCUUGCUGUCACUUAUAGAUGGAUCCGCGCUGCAUUAGCUAGUUGGUAAGGUAACGGCUUACCAAGGCAACGAUGCAUAGCCGACCUGAGAGGGUGAUCGGCCGCACUGGAACUGAGACACGGUCCAGACGCCUACGGGAGGCAGCAGUAGGGAAUCUUCCGCAAUGGGCGGAAGCCUGACGGAGCAACGCCGCGUGAGUGAUGAAGGUCUUCGGAUCGUAAAACUCUGUUAUUAGGGAAGAACAUAUGUGUAAGUAACUGUGCACAUCUUGACGGUACCUAAUCAGAAAGCCACGGCUAACUACGUG
Molecule: ribosomal RNA, 497 nt
Filed under: uncultured bacterium
Lineage: Bacteria
Description: partial 16S ribosomal RNA
Rfam family: Bacterial small subunit ribosomal RNA
Source: RNAcentral